AUUGGACGCUGGCGGCAUGCUUUACACAUGCAAGUCGAACGGUAACAGGCCGCAAGGUGCUGACGAGUGGCGAACGGGUGAGCAAUGCAUCGGAACGUGCCCAGUCGUGGGGGAUAACUACUCGAAAGAGUAGCUAAUACCGCAUACGAUCUAUGGAUGAAAGCGGGGGACCGUAAGGCCUCGCGCGAUUGGAGCGGCCGAUGUCAGAUUAGGUAGUUGGUGGGGUAAAGGCUCACCAAGCCAACGAUCUGUAGCUGGUCUGAGAGGACAACCAGCCACACUGGGACUGAGACACGGCCCAGACUCCUACGGGAGGCAGCAGUGGGGAAUUUUGGACAAUGGGCGCAAGCCUGAUCCAGCAAUGCCGCGUGCAGGAAGAAGGCCUUCGGGUUGUAAACUGCUUUUGUACGGAACGAAACGGCUCUGGUUAAUACCCGGGGCUAAUGACGGUACCGUAAGAAUAAGCACCGGCUAACUACGUG
This 482-nucleotide ribosomal RNA is filed under the name uncultured bacterium. RNAcentral describes it as "partial 16S ribosomal RNA". It matches the Rfam family "Bacterial small subunit ribosomal RNA", at positions 30 to 507 of the family's 1533-position model. The record is from RNAcentral.